Molecule: unclassified non-coding RNA, 888 nt
Filed under: Hevea brasiliensis (rubber tree)
Lineage: Eukaryota; Viridiplantae; Streptophyta; Magnoliopsida; Malpighiales; Euphorbiaceae
Source: RNAcentral
CAUGCACCUACAAAAAUCUAAUCAAAUCAAAUCUCCAACCAAUAAGAAAUAAUGAGGCAUGCCCUUAAUUACUCUGUUGCCUAGAUUGCCAAGUCUUCUGAGCCAAGUAUUCAAGACCAUCCAAAGACAUAAUACUCAAUAGCUUAAGCUUACUAGGUGAUAUAGGAGACAAAACAGAAGCUUGGACAAGUGCAGUCCCCUAUUGAGAAAUCCAUGUAUGGAGAAGCAGGUUUGACUUUCUUCAUCUUAGUUCUUUUUGUCCAGUCACGUUUAGUGGACUGUCAACCCAGCAUCGAAUGUUUCGCUAGUGCAAAUACCAUAACAGGAAGGCACAACAAUCUCUCCAAAAGUAAAAGUCAAUUUAAGAUGAAUAAUUUUAAUAUAAAUGAAAUUAGAGCUACUAUUUAGUUUCCUUCCCUGUAGAAAAAUUAAAACCCUUCAGAUAUAGUGCUUAAGAAAUAAAGACAAGUGGAAUGAACUGAAUUUUUAAUCAAAGAUUCAUACAAAAUUUUGAUUCUCUUCUAAAAUUCUAAGACUAGCCAAGAUGGACCAUGAGAUUGGUGGUGUUAAUGGUAGCCCACCUGCUGCUUGAUAAUAUUGCCAUCAAUUGCAAGUUUCAUGCAUUUAUCUUAAUUAUCCUUUUCAUAAAAAUGUAAAAGUCUUCACACUUUAUAUGUCAGUCAGCUUUCAAGCCCAAAACACAUGAAUGUAACCAAUACUCCAAAGCAUGCUACACAAAAAGUUGGAUGACAAAAAGAACUCCCAACCUUAACAUCAAACUCAAAAACGAUAUUUUAGCAUGAAUUGUCAUCAAUUUUUUUUUAACUAUAGAGUUGAAUAACUUCAUUAAAAAAUUGAAUUCUUACCUAUACCAAUACGUUCACCAAU